This 148-nucleotide non-coding RNA is filed under the name Pan troglodytes (chimpanzee). The record is from Rfam by way of RNAcentral. Lineage: Eukaryota; Metazoa; Chordata; Mammalia; Primates; Hominidae.
GCUGGGCGUGGUGGCGCGUGCCUGUAAUCCCAGCUACUCAGGAGGCUGAGGCAGGAGAAUCGCUUGAACCCAGGAGGCGGAGGUUGUAGUGAGCUGAGAUCGUGCCACUGCACUCCAGCCUGGGUGACAGAGAGAGACUCUGUCUCAA